This 488-nucleotide ribosomal RNA is filed under the name uncultured soil bacterium. RNAcentral's name for it is "bacterial SSU rRNA". It matches the Rfam family "Bacterial small subunit ribosomal RNA", at positions 26 to 524 of the family's 1533-position model. The record is from RNAcentral.
AGGACGAACGCUGGCGGCGUGCUUAACACAUGCAAGUCGAACGAUGAAGGAGGAGCUUGCUCCUCCGGAUUAGUGGCGAACGGGUGAGUAAUACGUGAGCAAUGUGCCCUUGACUCUGGGAUAAGCGCUGGAAACGGCGUCUAAUACCGGAUACGACCCUCGGAGACAUCUCCUGUGGGUGGAAAGAACUUCGGUCAAGGAUCAGCUCACGGCCUAUCAGCUAGUUGGUGAGGUAACGGCUCACCAAGGCGACGACGGGUAGCCGGCCUGAGAGGGUGACCGGCCACGACUGGGACUGAGACACGGCCCAGACUCCUACGGGAGGCAGCAGUGGGGAAUAUUGCACAAUGGGCGCAAGCCUGAUGCAGCAACGCCGCGUGAGGGACGACGGCCUUCGGUGUAAACUCUUUAGCAGGAAGAAGCGAGAGUGACGGUACCUGCAGAAAAAGCAACCGGACUAACUACGUAGCCAAGCAGACCGCGGUAAA